CCUACGGGAGGCAGCAGUAGGGAAUAUUGGGCAAUGGUCGCAAGACUGACCCAGCCAUGCCGCGUGCAGGAAGACGGCCCUCUGGGUUGUAAACUGCUUUUAUCUGGGAAGAAAAAGUCCAUGCGUGGAAAAUUGCCGGUACCAGAUGAAUAAGCACCGGCUAACUCCGUGCCAGCAGCCGCGGUAAUACGGAGGGUGCAAGCGUUGUCCGGAUUUAUUGGGUUUAAAGGGUGCGUAGGCGGCUGAAUAAGUCAGCGGUGAAAGACUUCGGCUUAACCGGAGCAGUGCCGUUGAUACUGUUUAGCUUGAGUGUUGGAGGGGUACAUGGAAUUGAUGGUGUAGCGGUGAAAUGCAUAGAUACCAUCAGGAACACCGAUAGCGAAGGCAUUGUACUGGCCAACAACUGACGCUGAGGCACGAAAGUGUGGGGAUCGAACAGGAUUAGAUACCCUGGUAGUCCACACUGUAAACGAUGAUUACUCGCUGUUAUGGUGAAUGCUGUAGCGGCCAAGCGAAAGCGUUAAGUAAUCCACCUGGGGAGUACGCCGGCAACGGUGAAACUCAAAGGAAUUGACGG
This 577-nucleotide ribosomal RNA is filed under the name uncultured bacterium. RNAcentral's name for it is "bacterial SSU rRNA". It matches the Rfam family "Bacterial small subunit ribosomal RNA", at positions 338 to 916 of the family's 1533-position model. The record is from RNAcentral.